GUGGGGAAUAUUGGACAAUGGGCGAAAGCCUGAUCCAGCCAUGCCGCGUGUGUGAAGAAGGUCUCCGGAUUGUAAAGCACUUUAAGUUGGGAGGAAGGGCAGUAAGUUAAUACCUUGCUGUUUUGACGUUACCGACAGAAUAAGCACCGGCUAACUUCGUGCCAGCAGCCGCGGUAAUACGAAGGGUGCAAGCGUUAAUCGGAAUUACUGGGCGUAAAGCGCGCGUAGGUGGUUUUGUAAGUUGGAGGUGAAAUCCCCGGGCUCAACCCUGGAAUUGCUCUCAAAACUGCAAGGCUCGAAUUCGGGAGAGGAUAGCGGAAUUGUCAGUGUAGCAGUGAAAUGCGUAGAUAUUGACAGGAACACCAGUGGCGUAAGCGGCUAUCUGGACCGAUAUUGACGCUGAGGCACGAAAGCGUGGGGAUCAAACAGGAUUAGAUACCCUGGUAGUCC
This 450-nucleotide ribosomal RNA is filed under the name uncultured bacterium. RNAcentral describes it as "partial 16S ribosomal RNA". It matches the Rfam family "Bacterial small subunit ribosomal RNA", at positions 354 to 796 of the family's 1533-position model. The record is from RNAcentral.